Molecule: ribosomal RNA, 484 nt
Filed under: uncultured bacterium
Lineage: Bacteria
Description: partial 16S ribosomal RNA
Rfam family: Bacterial small subunit ribosomal RNA
Source: RNAcentral
AUUGAACGCUGGCGGCAGGCCUAACACAUGCAAGUCGAGCGGAUGAAGGGAGCUUGCUCCUGGAUUCAGCGGCGGACGGGUGAGUAAUUCCUAGGAAUCUGCCUUGUAGUGGGGGAUAACGUCCGGAAACGGGCGCUAAUACCGCAUACGUCCUGAGGGAGAAAGUGGGGGAUCUUCGGACCUCACGCUAUCAGAUGAGCCUAGGUCGGAUUAGCUAGUUGGUGGGGUAAAGGCCUACCAAGGCGACGAUCCGUAACUGGUCUGAGAGGAUGAUCAGCCACACUGGAACUGAGACACGGUCCAGACUCCUACGGGAGGCAGCAGUGGGGAAUAUUGGACAAUGGGCGAAAGCCUGAUCCAGCCAUGCCGCGUGUGUGAAGAAGGUCUUCGGAUUGUAAAGCACUUUAAGUUGGGAGGAAGGGCAGUAAGUUAAUACCUUGCUGUUUUGACGUUACCAACAGAAUAAGCACCGGCUAACUUCGUG